Molecule: long non-coding RNA, 459 nt
Filed under: Marmota marmota marmota (Alpine marmot)
Lineage: Eukaryota; Metazoa; Chordata; Mammalia; Rodentia; Sciuridae
Description: lncRNA (ENSMMMG00000007223.1)
Source: RNAcentral
CGGGAGGACCUGGACUUGGUGUCUGAAGUUGCCUGCUCCACAGGAAACCACCUCCCUCUGCUGCUUGCUUUCUCUUGAGCCAACACCCAAAGCCACCAUCAGUGUCAUGGGGAUGAGACUUUUCAAGGCUGUUCCCACUUUCUUCUUCUUCCUCCUUUGCAGAAGGUAAAACAUUAAUUUAAGAUGAUGAAACCAGACAUUUUGAGAAAAGUUUGGACAACAAUGACAAAGACGGAGAAGCCUGAAGGGGAAAAAAACUCAGUCCACUAUUUUCUGAGAAAGAACAGUGAGACCCUCUUGCCUCCACUUGUAAUCAUAGGGAAGUGGAAGCUGUGUUUCCUGGAGACCACCUGGGUGAAAAAUGCUAAAUGGACAUCACAGAAGAGCUGCUUUAGAAGUGAAGUUUUGAUUUGAACCACUCAUUUAGUGGUUGUUAAUUAAAUCAAUCUGGUAAUCUGG